GAUGAAGAACGUAGCGAAAUGCGAUAAGUAAUGUGAAUUGCAGAAUUCAGUGAAUCAUCGAAUCUUUGAACGCACAUUGCGCCCCUUGGUAUUCCGAGGGGCAUGCCUAUUCGAGCGUCAUUAUCACCCCUCAAGCCUAGCUUGGUGUUGAGGCCUGCUGUCAAGGCAGCCUCUAAAAUCAGUGGCAGUGCUGUCAGGCUCUAAGCGUAGUAAAUCUAAUCGCUAUAGACACCUGGUGGACACUCGCCAGAACCCCCCCAUUUUUUAAUGAUCGACCUCGGAUUAGGUAGGGAUACCCGCUGAACUUAAGCAUAUCAAUAAGCGGAGGA
This 329-nucleotide unclassified non-coding RNA is filed under the name soil metagenome. RNAcentral describes it as "partial contains 5.8S ribosomal RNA, internal transcribed spacer 2, and large subunit ribosomal RNA". The stretch from base 1 to 120 matches the Rfam family "5.8S ribosomal RNA", at positions 35 to 154 of the family's 154-position model. The record is from RNAcentral.